RNAcentral lists this ribosomal RNA (97 nucleotides) under Halobatrachus didactylus (Lusitanian toadfish). The record is from RNAcentral. Lineage: Eukaryota; Metazoa; Chordata; Actinopteri; Batrachoidiformes; Batrachoididae.
UACGCCCGAUCUCGUCCGAUCUCGGAAGCUAAGCAGGGUCGGGCCUGGUUAGUACUUGGAUGGGAGACCGCCUGGGAAUACCAGCUGCUGUAAGCUU